GCUGAUUCAAGAGUUAGGAGAAUCGAAACUCAACAAUCACGACGCGAUAACACUUCCACGAGGGAGGCGGGGUUUGGGGGGGCGCAGCCCCCCCAAGUUCCAGCUG
Long non-coding RNA from Aricia agestis (brown argus), 106 nucleotides. RefSeq lists it as uncharacterized. Lineage: Eukaryota; Metazoa; Arthropoda; Insecta; Lepidoptera; Lycaenidae. The record is from RefSeq and is a predicted model, not a curated record. The transcript has 3 exons.